RNAcentral lists this ribosomal RNA (671 nucleotides) under uncultured forest soil bacterium. RNAcentral describes it as "bacterial SSU rRNA". It matches the Rfam family "Bacterial small subunit ribosomal RNA", at positions 64 to 767 of the family's 1533-position model. The record is from RNAcentral.
GCACGAGAAAGCGGAGCAAUCCAUGAGUAAAGUGGCGCACGGGUGAGUAACACAUGAAUGAUCUACCUCCGAGUGGGGAAUAACUGAGAGAAAUCUUAGCUAAUACCGCAUAAUACCCACGGGUCAAAGCAGCAAUGCGCUUGGAGAGGAGUUCGCGGCCGAUUAGCUAGUUGGCGGGGUAAUGGCCCACCAAGGCGAUGAUCGGUAUCCGGCCUGAGAGGGCGCACGGACACACUGGAACUGAAACACGGUCCAGACUCCUACGGGAGGCAGCAGUGGGGAAUUUUGCGCAAUGGGGGAAACCCUGACGCAGCAACGCCGCGUGGAGGAUGAAAUCCCUUGGGAUGUAAACUCCUUUCGAUAGGGAAGAUAAUGACGGUACCUAUAGAAGAAGCCCCGGCUAACUUCGUGCCAGCAGCCGCGGUAAUACGAGGGGGGCAAGCGUUGUUCGGAAUUAUCGGGCGUAAAGGGUGCGUAGGCGGUUUGACAAGUCUGAUGUGAAAUCUAUGGGCUCAACCCAUAGGCUGCAUCGGAAACUGUCGGGCUUGAGUAUGGGAGAGGUGAGUGGAAUUUCCGGUGUAGCGGUGAAAUGCGUAGAUAUCGGAAGGAACACCUGUGGCGAAAGCGGCUCACUGGACCAUUACUGACGCUGAGGCACGAAAGCUAGGGGA